Long non-coding RNA from Glossina fuscipes, 675 nucleotides. RefSeq lists it as uncharacterized. NCBI's taxonomy places the organism in Eukaryota, Metazoa, Arthropoda, Insecta, Diptera, Glossinidae. The transcript is spliced from 3 exons. The record is from RefSeq and is a predicted model, not a curated record.
AAACGUCAGAAGAAGAAAAGAAAGUUAAACAGUAAACCCACCAACCAACCAGUCAGCCGGGCCGUGUAGUAGUUAAGGCGCGCGAUUUUUCAAAUUACCUUAAGUCAUAACAAAAACGCGACGUCUUUUUCCAGUAGAUUGCUCUUAGGCAACAAUUUUCAAUAUUCCGUUGAACGACGCCGACGUGGCCCCUCUGGCAGAGCUCUAAGUCAUAGAUUGUAACCAGUCAUAUUUAAAGCACAUUAUAGUGGCCCACGGCUCCUAUCUUUAAAUACCCCAUACCCCAAGUUGCUUGAUGCAAUUACUUAUAUAAAAAAUUUCCAAAAUAAGAUGUGGUCGCAAGAGUGAUCCGCCCCGAACCGUUCAAUCAAUAGCGUUCGUUUUUGGAACAAAAAUAUGAACUGUGCGUUAAAUACCAGUAUGCAAGACGAACAGACAGAAAUGCUCGAAAUCUCUUACUGAAUAGAUCUAAAUCGUGGCUGCCAAGUCCUCGCUCACGAGUUCAAAGCUCGCAUACACUGCAGCUGGCUUUGAUCGUAUCUACAGUAACGUACUAGACUUUUGAAGGAAUAACAUAAAGAGUUGUACAAGAAAGGGAGCUAGUACUCCAACUCAAGUGGAAAAGCACUAAUUACUCAUCAAGGCGAAAAGUGUAUGCGAAGAUUGGAGGAUAAA